RNAcentral lists this ribosomal RNA (253 nucleotides) under uncultured bacterium. Its description in RNAcentral is "partial 16S ribosomal RNA". It matches the Rfam family "Bacterial small subunit ribosomal RNA", at positions 524 to 776 of the family's 1533-position model. The record is from RNAcentral.
UACGAAGGGUGCAAGCGUUACUCGGAAUUACUGGGCGUAAAGCGUGCGUAGGUGGUUGUUUAAGUCUGUUGUGAAAGCCCUGGGCUCAACCUGGGAAUUGCAGUGGAUACUGGGCGACUAGAGUGUGGUAGAGGGUAGUGGAAUUCCUGGUGUAGCAGUGAAAUGCGUAGAGAUCAGGAGGAACAUCCAUGGCGAAGGCAGCUACCUGGACCAACACUGACACUGAGGCACGAAAGCGUGGGGAGCAACCAGG